GCCGUACUAGAGAAAUGGUUAACUCGUCGGCCUUCUAAUUGUUUAUCAUUUGAUAGCCGAAGAUUCUCGGUUCGAGUCCGGGGUACGGUG
Molecule: non-coding RNA, 90 nt
Organism: Annulohypoxylon maeteangense
Lineage: Eukaryota; Fungi; Ascomycota; Sordariomycetes; Xylariales; Hypoxylaceae
Source: the annotation of a RefSeq genome assembly